GAAGAAGCACCGGCUAACUCCGUGCCAGCAGCCGCGGUAAUACGGAGGGUGCAAGCGUUAAUCGGAAUUACUGGGCGUAAAGCGCACGCAGGCGGUCUGUCAAGUCGGAUGUGAAAUCCCCGGGCUCAACCUGGGAACUGCAUUCGAAACUGGCAGGCUUGAGUCUUGUAGAGGGGGGUAGAAUUCCAGGUGUAGCGGUGAAAUGCGUAGAGAUCUGGAGGAAUACCGGUGGCGAAGGCGGCCCCCUGGACAAAGACUGACGCUCAGGUGCGAAAGCGUG
This 280-nucleotide ribosomal RNA is filed under the name Salmonella enterica subsp. enterica serovar Agona. Its description in RNAcentral is "partial 16S ribosomal RNA". It matches the Rfam family "Bacterial small subunit ribosomal RNA", at positions 484 to 763 of the family's 1533-position model. Lineage: Bacteria; Pseudomonadati; Pseudomonadota; Gammaproteobacteria; Enterobacterales; Enterobacteriaceae. The record is from RNAcentral.